RNAcentral lists this ribosomal RNA (588 nucleotides) under uncultured bacterium. RNAcentral's name for it is "bacterial SSU rRNA". It matches the Rfam family "Bacterial small subunit ribosomal RNA", at positions 338 to 916 of the family's 1533-position model. The record is from RNAcentral.
CCUACGGGAGGCAGCAGUAGGGAAUCUUCCGCAAUGGACGAAAGUCUGACGGAGCAACGCCGCGUGAACGAUGAAGGCCUUCGGGUCGUAAAGUUCUGUUGUUAGGGAAGAACAAGUGCUAGUUAAAUAAGCUGGCACCUUGACGGUACCUAACCAGAAAGCCACGGCUAACUACGUGCCAGCAGCCGCGGUAAUACGUAGGUGGCAAGCGUUGUCCGGAAUUAUUGGGCGUAAAGUGCGCGCAGGCGGUUUCUUAAGUCUGAUGUGAAAGCCCCCGGCUCAACCGGGGAGGGUCAUUGGAAACUGGGAAACUUGAGUGCAGAAGAGGAAAGUGGAAUUCCAAGUGUAGCGGUGAAAUGCGUAGAGAUUUGGAGGAACACCAGUGGCGAAGGCGACUUUCUGGUCUGUAACUGACGCUGAGGCGCGAAAGCGUGGGGAGCAAACAGGAUUAGAUACCCUGGUAGUCCACGCUGUAAACGAUGAGUGCUAAGUGUUAGAGGGUUUCCGCCCUUUAGUGCUGAAGUUAACGCAUUAAGCACUCCGCCUGGGGAGUACGGUCGCAAGACUGAAACUCAAAGGAAUUGACGG